Molecule: non-coding RNA, 341 nt
Organism: Pelobates cultripes (western spadefoot toad)
Lineage: Eukaryota; Metazoa; Chordata; Amphibia; Anura; Pelobatidae
Source: the annotation of a GenBank genome assembly
GUUUUGACAUUUUAUCAAGCGGUUCUGCAACAUUUAGUGUCUCUCUAUGGAGUGGUGGGAGUCAUGCCCAUUGAUGACAGCAUUGUGGCUCCCUAGGUUAAACUUUUGUUCGAAAAAUGGUGGCUGGUUAUGUUCAAAGAUGGUGGGGAGAUUGCUGGUCUCUGUCUACUAAACCCCAUGUAUUGAACCCCUGUCACAAUGAGACUUCAUGCCCGGCUCCAAACCAUAAACAAACCAUAAACACAGCAUAUUCAGCCAUCAAUAAAAUAAAGGGAAUGGAAAUUGUGUUUUUUGCAAACAAAACAAGGGGUGUGUCACCAUUUCUGCCCCUGUAGACUAGC